GAGUUUGAUCUUGGCUCAGGAUGAACGCUGGCGGCGUGCUUAACACAUGCAAGUCGAACGAAGCACUACCGACGGAACUUUUCGGAGGGAAGAUGGUAAUGACUGAGUGGCGGACGGGUGAGUAACGCGUGGCAACCUGCCCCAUAGAGGGGGACGAACAGCUGGAAACGGCUGCUAAUACCGCAUAACAAGGAGAGAGCGCAUGUUCUUUUCUUCAAAGAUUUAUCGCUAUGGGAUGGACCCGCGUCUGAUUAGCUGGUUGGUGAGGUAACGGCUCACCAAGGCGACGAUCAGUAGCCGGCUUGAGAGAGUGGACGGCCACAUUGGGACUGAGACACGGCCCAGACUCCUACGGGAGGCAGCAGUGGGGAAUAUUGCACAAUGGGGGAAACCCUGAUGCAGCGACGCCGCGUGAGUGAAGAAGUAUUUCGGUAUGUAAAGCUCUAUCAGCAGGGAAGAUAAUGACGGUACCUGAAUAAGAAGCCCCGGCUAACUACGUGCCAGCCGCCG
This 510-nucleotide ribosomal RNA is filed under the name uncultured microorganism. RNAcentral describes it as "bacterial SSU rRNA". It matches the Rfam family "Bacterial small subunit ribosomal RNA", at positions 9 to 517 of the family's 1533-position model. The record is from RNAcentral.